CAUUGAACGGAUUCAACAGUAAUCAGGAUGAUUACUGCUAAGGACGGGAAAUGGACACCUCUGGAUGAGGCAAGGACUGUUCAUCAGGAUGAUGAAAAGGACACCGCUCAAGGAACAAGCGAAGCGAGUUAACUAGGAAAGUUGACUGACCAGGAUAGGGUCAAGGACACCGCUAGGAUGGCGACGAAAGGACUAAGCUGAAGGACAUCAGCAUACUAUCAAGGACUAGAUGCAUGGAGCACCUUAAGUAGCCGGAUUGCUGCGAGUAAGACUAUAACCCCGAUGGGCGCAAGCCCUCGGGGUUUUUUCUUU
Molecule: non-coding RNA, 312 nt
Filed under: Vibrio caribbeanicus ATCC BAA-2122
Lineage: Bacteria; Pseudomonadati; Pseudomonadota; Gammaproteobacteria; Vibrionales; Vibrionaceae
Source: RNAcentral